RNAcentral lists this ribosomal RNA (498 nucleotides) under uncultured bacterium. Its description in RNAcentral is "partial 16S ribosomal RNA". It matches the Rfam family "Bacterial small subunit ribosomal RNA", at positions 899 to 1397 of the family's 1533-position model. The record is from RNAcentral.
ACUCAAAUGAAUAGACGGGGACCCGCACAAGCGGUGGAGCAUGUGGUUUAAUUCGACGCAACGCGAAGAACCUUACCUGGGUUAAAUCAAGAUUGUAAGACGUAGAGAUACGUCCCCCUAGCAAUAGGCGGUCUUGAAGGUGCUGCAUGGCUGUCGUCAGCUCGUGUCGUGAGAUGUUGGGUUAAGUCCCGCAACGAGCGCAACCCUUACUAUUAGUUGCCAGCGGUUCGGCCGGGCACUCUAAUGGAACUGCCGGUGAUAAACCGGAGGAAGGUGGGGAUGACGUCAAGUCAUCAUGGCCUCUAUGUCCAGGGCUACACACGUGCUACAAUGGCCGAUACAAACCGUUGCAAGCCCGCAAGGGGGAGCCAAUCGGAAAAAGUCGGUCUCAGUUCGGAUUGUAGUCUGCAACUCGACUGCAUGAAGUUGGAAUCGCUAGUAAUCGCAGAUCAGCACGCUGCGGUGAAUACGUUCCCGGGUCUUGUACACACCGCCCGU